Molecule: long non-coding RNA, 1349 nt
Filed under: Canis lupus familiaris (dog)
Lineage: Eukaryota; Metazoa; Chordata; Mammalia; Carnivora; Canidae
Description: lncRNA (ENSCAFG00845030510.1)
Source: RNAcentral
CCUUUCUGUGUUCAGGGCUUAGGUUCCAUAAGGCAGACGGAAAGCCCUCUCAUGGAUUCUUGUUUUGGUUUGUUAGCUUAAGUGGGUUUUUGUAUUUGUAACCAGAGUCCUAAUUGGUGCACAUUAUGAGAAGGACUUGAGUGAUAAUUGUGUCAGCAAAAGCUAAUGGUCACAGUGGACACAUUAAGUGAAAGCUGACAUGCCUUUUCUCCAAAGCUGCAAUCAACCCUUAAUCCUGCAGAGCUGCAUUACCUCUGAUACGGAUCACCCAGUCCCUUCCUUCUGCUCCUCUUUCCAGUCAUUCAUUCGAUGACUCCACAAAUAUCUGGAGUGUUCCUACUGCGUGCCAGCUGAUUGAUUCUACUAGAGAUGGAGCCACCACUAACCAUGAAAAAUUUAUAAACUUUCCUCACGACUUUGUCACAUGGAAGCUUCUGGUCGCCCUCAGUUUGGAACACUCAGAGGCUUGCAGAGCAAGCUGUUUUCAUGGUCGAGCGUUUCACACAGCCUGGUUGAGGUCAGAACCACAUUCCUGGGAACAUUGCCCCUGCUGAACUAUGAAAUUUCCUGAUUAAGGAAAUGAGAGGAAAUAAGGCAUUAACUAGCACCUACGCACAGCACACAAACUUGAGGAGUUCUUUUUUUCUUUCUUCAGGAGAAUUAAAAACAGAAGAUGCUGCUGUUACAAUUCUCUGAAAUAAGACGACAAAACCAAGGAUGAACAUUUAACAGCUGUUUUGGAAUGGAUUCUGGGAAUAAACAAAAAGCUGCCUAUGGUUUCGCCACAGUUAAAAAGCACAGAUUUGCUGUGAUUCAUACGGUCUAUAGCUCGUAAGCUGAGCCAAAGAAAUGAUGCCAAGAAAAGACAAUGACAAAGGGAGAGGCUUAAUCAUCAUGACAGUUGCAAUUAUAAUUAAAUGUAAACUUGAGAAGAGGAUUGCUUCACUCUGGCAAGAAGGCCAAGGUUUGGUGGAAGUCUACAGCAAGUGGACCAAAGGCUGUUGUUAAAUUUCUUUCUCUACUCAAAGAACUUCCAACUUUUACUUAUUAUUAAUAUUUAUAAAGUACAAGAAAAGAAAAUAAUAUUAUUUUAAAGCUGGCAUGAGACUUCCUCUUAGAAUGUCCCAGGCCCUCCCUCCCCCCCCCAACUCUCUUUUAUUUUCUGCCUGCUUGCCUUCCUUAAAUUUUAAAAAAUAAGCCAGUUUAGAGUAGAAGCCGAGAUAUCAGAGGGAGGAAUGCGAGCAAAACUGCCUGGAUGAGACAGGAAAGGAGUUUGUGUUUUGAACCAGAUGGGAAAGGACAGAGCCAAGUAAAACGAGGAGAAAGUGGAAUGAGCAAGAUGGCCAACG